GACGAACGCUGGCGGCGUGCUCAACACAUGCAAGUCGAACGCUGAAGCUUGGUGCUUGCACUGGGUGGAUGAGUGGCGAACGGGUGAGUAAUAAGUGAGUAACCUGCCCUUGACUCUGGGAUAAGCCUGGGAAACCGGGUCUAAUACUGGAUACGACAUGUCACCGCAUGGUGGUGUGUGGAAAGGGUUUUACUGGUUUUGGAUGGGCUCACGGCCUAUCAGCUUGUUGGUGGGGUAAUGGCUCACCAAGGCGACGACGGGUAGCCGGCCUGAGAGGGUGACCGGCCACACUGGGACUGAGACACGGCCCAGACUCCUACGGGAGGCAGCAGUGGGGAAUAUUGCACAAUGGGCGGAAGCCUGAUGCAGCGACGCCGCGUGAGGGAUGACGGCCUUCGGGUUGUAAACCUCUUUCAGCACGGAAGAAGCGAAAGUGACGGUACGUGCAGAAGAAGCGCCGGCUAACUACGUG
RNAcentral lists this ribosomal RNA (472 nucleotides) under uncultured bacterium. RNAcentral describes it as "partial 16S ribosomal RNA". It matches the Rfam family "Bacterial small subunit ribosomal RNA", at positions 28 to 507 of the family's 1533-position model. The record is from RNAcentral.